This 180-nucleotide ribosomal RNA is filed under the name uncultured Glomeromycotina. RNAcentral's name for it is "partial small subunit ribosomal RNA". Lineage: Eukaryota; Fungi; Glomeromycota. The record is from RNAcentral.
GAAUCAGUACGCUGGUCGUGCCUUCGGUAUGUACUGGUGUCACUGGUUUCUCCCUUCUGAAGAACCAUCAUGCCAUUCACUUGGUGUGGUGGGAAAUCAGGACUGUUACUUUGAAAAAAUUAGAGUGUUUAAAGCAGGCGGUCUCCGCCACUGAAUACAUUAGCAUGGGAUAAUGGAAUA